Molecule: ribosomal RNA, 395 nt
Filed under: uncultured bacterium
Lineage: Bacteria
Description: partial 16S ribosomal RNA
Rfam family: Bacterial small subunit ribosomal RNA
Source: RNAcentral
AUACGUAGGGGGCGAGCGUUGUCCGGAAUGAUUGGGCGUAAAGGGCGCGUAGGCGGCCCGGUAAGUCUGGAGUGAAAGUCCUGUUUUUAAGAUGGGAAUUGCUUUGGAUACUGUCGGGCUUGAGUGCAGGAGAGGUAAGUGGAAUUCCCAGUGUAGCGGUGAAAUGCGUAGAGAUUGGGAGGAACACCAGUGGCGAAGGCGACUAUCGGGACGGAAACUGACGCUGAGGCACGAAAGCGUGGGGAGCAAACAGGAUAGUAUACCCGGGUGGCCCAAGCCCUAAAGGAGUGAUACUGGCUGUGGCAUGGUUGGAAUCUUGCUGUGGCGGAGCUAACGCAUUAAGGACCCCGCCUGGGGAGUACGGUCGCAAGUCUGAAUCUCAAAGGAAUUGACGG